AGGGAAAGAGGGAGGCAGGCCUAACACAUGCAAGUCGAGCGGAUGAAGGGAGCUUGCUCCUGGAUUCAGCGGCGGACGGGUGAGUAAUGCCUAGGAAUCUGCCUGGUAGUGGGGGAUAACGUCCGGAAACGGGCGCUAAUACCGCAUACGUCCUGAGGGAGAAAGUGGGGGAUCUUCGGACCUCACGCUAUCAGAUGAGCCUAGGUCGGAUUAGCUAGUUGGUGGGGUAAAGGCCUACCAAGGCGACGAUCCGUAACUGGUCUGAGAGGAUGAUCAGUCACACUGGAACUGAGACACGGUCCAGACUCCUACGGGAGGCAGCAGUGGGGAAUAUUGGACAAUGGGCGAAAGCCUGAUCCAGCCAUGCCGCGUGUGUGAAGAAGGUCUUCGGAUUGUAAAGCACUUUAAGUUGGGAGGAAGGGCAGUAAGUUAAUACCUUGCUGUUUUGACGUUACCAACAGAAUAAGCACCGGCUAACUUCGUG
This 484-nucleotide ribosomal RNA is filed under the name uncultured bacterium. Its description in RNAcentral is "partial 16S ribosomal RNA". It matches the Rfam family "Bacterial small subunit ribosomal RNA", at positions 38 to 507 of the family's 1533-position model. The record is from RNAcentral.